This 412-nucleotide ribosomal RNA is filed under the name uncultured microorganism. RNAcentral's name for it is "bacterial SSU rRNA". It matches the Rfam family "Archaeal small subunit ribosomal RNA", at positions 330 to 745 of the family's 1478-position model. The record is from RNAcentral.
GUGCAGCAGGCGAGAAUACUCCGCAAUGCUCGAAAGAGUGACGGGGGAUUCCAAGUGCCUACGCUCAGCGUAGGCUGUUCAGAUGCCUAAAAAGCAUCUGGAGUAAGGGCUGGGUAAGACGGGUGCCAGCCGCCGCGGUAAUACCCGCAGCUCGAGUGGUAGUCGAUUUUAUUGGGCCUAAAGCGUCCCUAUCCGGUCUGGUAAAUGCUUGGGUAAAUCGUGGGGCUCAACCCUACGAAUUCCGGGUAGACUGCCAGACUUGGGACCGGUUGAGGAAGAGGGUACUUCAGGGGUAGGAGUGAAAUCCUGUAAUCCUUGAAGGACCACCAGUGGCGAAGGCGCUCCUCUAGGACGGGUCCGACGGUGAGGGACGAAAGCCAGGGGAGCAAACCGGAUUAGAUACCCGGGUAGU